Molecule: long non-coding RNA, 2904 nt
Organism: Dasypus novemcinctus (nine-banded armadillo)
Lineage: Eukaryota; Metazoa; Chordata; Mammalia; Cingulata; Dasypodidae
Source: Ensembl
CUCAGGUGCUCGUCAGCAGCCCCCUCCCCACCACGCCUGCUCCUUCCCGCUCCCCCCCCCAGCCCCCCAGCCUCCUGCUGGUCCCUGCUCAGGCUGUUUCCACAGCGCCCUUGGCCCUCCCCCCCACGCCUGCUCCUUCCCGCUCCCCCCCAGCCCCCCAGCCUCCUGCUGGUCCCUGCUCAGGCUGUUCCCACAGCGCCCUUGGCCCUCCCCCCCACGCCUGCUCCUUCCCGCUCCCCCCCAGCCCCCCAGCCUCCUGCUGGUCCCUGCUCAGGCUGUCCCCCCAGCGCCCUUGGCCCUCGGCCGCUUCCCUGAACCUCCCCCCGCUCCCGCCUUGGCCGUGUGCGCCGCCCUGAGGACUUGGCUUCCUGCGGCUCGGGUCAGCCAGCCUCCUCCUCGAAGCUCCUUCCAGCCGCACCUCCUCUCCCAGGUAACACUCUGAGCUAGGCCUGCGACGUCAGCACCUGCCACCCCUCCCCACGCUCUGUCACCAGUCCCCAGCUCUCCUGCUUCUCCCUGGGGACACCCCAGCCCACCACGCAUGGGCACCCAGGGGUCAGCCCCGGUAACCUGCCGUGGCCCCUGAGGUCCCCGCUCUGUGACCGCCACCUCUCCCCGCUGCCGCCCCAUGCUCCUGAGGCUCCAGGCUGGACCUCGUCCGCCAGGCUGGCUCCACUCCAACCUCCCGCAGACCCCCGCUCUGAGGAGCCGCACGCCCCGGCCCGCUCGGCCCCAGGCCGCAGCCCCAGCCCGUGUCUGCCCGGCCCCCGCCGCCUGUCCAGCUUUCCCUCCCGCCUCGUGGGGACAUCUCCAGCCGCACACCUCCUGCCACGGGCUCCUGUGGCCCUCGGUCGGCAUCAUCAGCACGCGCGCCGCCCACUGCCAGCCCGCCCGCGACGCUCUCGCCCCUCGUUUUGCGGCGGCUCUCCCAGAAGGCCCUUCCUCCGGUCAGACAUAAGAUCUACGUGGAUUUGUGGGAAUCGGGGUACAAUCACCGGUCAGCCUCCAGGGACAACACACUUUCAAAGGGCCUCUUCAGGCAAGGACAAGGAGAAGGACAGUCAGAAGCUCUUAGAGGGACGACCAGGGCUGCGGGCGCUACUGGAACAGAGAGGGACCCCUGGAGCAUAGAGCCAGGCCAGCCAAGGACUUCCCAGCUCACAGUGUCCGUCCCGGGGCUUUGGAAUUCCUGAGCGGGGGACGGCUGUCUCCCGUCCUUCCUCUGAACGAGAGGUCUUGUUAUCACUCUCAGACCAACCACUGGAUACUGGACUGGUGGCAGGUGACAAACCACGGGCCCCCUCUGGCCACAGGUCCAGCAGGGCGUAGGCACCUGCAGAGGGGAGACACGCUCACGCCUGGCAUCGAAUCAGAGCACCCAGGCGAGUGCUUCUUGAGUUUAUUCAUAUUUGGGAGGUGCAGCUGUCCUGGCUAGACCAUGACACACAUUUCCUGUGAGCAUUGCAGAAUUCCAACGCUGACAACCUGCCAUCUGGUUUCAGCACAGUCUCUUAAGGGUGUGAAUCUUUUUUUAAGCUCUGAAAACCAUUUCAACAUCAGCCUGAUUGCCCAAAUAAGGCAAAUUAUGUUUUUUUUCUUUUUCCAAAUUAUAACCUAUUGAGAAUCUACUGUGUGUGGUUCUGUGCUGCAUUCUGUGGGUAAUUAAAAUGCCCAUGUGUGGCAAUUAUGCUGCAGCGCUCGCCAUCAAGGGCUACAGCCCGUCAUGAAGCAGAUGCAUGCAACGCUCAUGCAAAGCAUCAUGAAGUCAUUUUUAGUCUGAAAAACUAAACUGUAACAUAACAACUGAAGGAAAAAAUCCAGGGCGCUGAAGCCUGACAGAAAUCUAUAGGUCAUUUAUGGGCAUCUCCUCAGGAAUUUUAACCUCUUCUCAAGAGAACUUUUGUAAGAUCUACAGAUCACAAAUUCAGCUCUGGAGUUUCUCCAGCUUUCUUCCUCUUGGUCUUUAUGUAACCACAAAAUGAAUAAUGUGCUGAUUUAAAUUCCGAUAAAUGAAAAAGGAAGAAUACAUAUGAGUGUUUACAUCACAAAUUGAAAAUCACUCUUUGAAUUCUAGUUGACUCUUCUAAAAACUAUUUUCAUGGAGGCUACUAUUUAAUAGUUUAAUGAUUGCAAAAGAUUUCUUGAAAAAUAAAGAUGUUAUUUGAAGUGUUUUCCACAAAGGUAAAUAUAUUUUUCAUGAUUUUUCUUGAUAUUUGUUUAAAUAUAUCAACCACCUACAGUAGGAUGUAAGUGGCAUCCUUGUGCUACCUGGAUUGGUGAUUCUGAAAUCAACUUUGAUAAACAGUGACAUAAGGGGUAUUUUUAUAGUUUAUGACAGAUGGGAAAAGGAUUCACAAAGAUGAGUGGUGCUUUGGCAUAACUAACAAAAUGUGUCAAAGGUGUUUGGUUUGUUUGAAUAAAGUGAAAAUUAUUUAAAGUUAUGGUCAUAUAUACAUGGUAGAGGGAUUUGCUAAAUAAGUUCACUUCAAAAAUUCUCAUGCUGGCUGGUGGUGCAGCCAUCUGCCCCAGCCGAGAAGUGAGAACCCAGAGGUUCUGAGCAGACACAGCCUGCGAAGUGCAGUGAGGCUGGUCCACGAAAACACACCUAAGGUGGAAACUUCAUUCCAAAUAAAGACAGAAAAAAUCUCUUUCAUAAUUGAUUAUGCAACAAACUUUAAAACGACAGCCUGGGAAAGAAGCUCUUUCGUGAUGUUCACUUCUGCAGUGCUCUGUGAAGCCCUGGACACGUCCUUUGCUCUGGUAUAAAUGGACCCACCGGGGACAGAGGGCAUGGCUGCUUCUCUGAGACAGACUACAUUUCCACACGGCCCUUUGGGCCACUUCUCCCUCCAUUUCCCUGUUUUUCUAGAGGUGACGGAUGCCGGUGUUUGUUUCAGAUGAGCC